GGGGGCGGGGGCGUGAGCGUGAGGAUGGUGCUCGCGCCGCGGGGUGAGGGGCUACCGGCGCAGGCGCGUAGCGGCGCUGCCGGGAUGCGGCUUUCCCGCCCGGCGGGUGAGGCGCGGUGCCGCGUCCUGGCCGUGGUGGGGGACGGCUGGCCUCGGCAGCCCGCUGGGCCUGUGGUGUGUGAGGCGAGCGGUGCUGCUGGGGGCUGGUGCCGCUCUCAGGGGGCUCCGCUUGGUGGGGCCGGCGCGGCCCCGCCCGCAGCCGAGGCGGGAGCGAGGGGCGCUGCUGUGAGGGGGCCGCUGGCCCGGCAUGGCGGCGCCAGCCCCUGCGGCCUGGGAGGGCCGUGAGGGCAGUGGGGCGGGCCGCCCCCGCUGUCUACUCUGGGCGCACGGGCACGGCGGGGGGCUGCUGGGCAUGGCUUCGUCCGGGCUGACGGGAUUUUUUCCCUGUAACCCUGAGCGCGGUGCCCUGACCCUUCGGGAUCAAAGCAGCGCAGGGUUGGGUGCUUAGGAAUACGUCUUUUCAGGCCAAGCGUGACCAUUAAACAUUCUCUUGUUUGUACCACUACAUAGUGCUUACAUUAAAAAGACUGUGUUGCAUUUCUUCUCUUUCAGGUUAAAUUGUUAUGAAUUGUUUUAAACGCUUCUUGGAAGAUGAUGUAUUAUAACCUUUUAAGAGAAAAGGAGUAAGUGAGGCACAGCAUAAGCUUUCAGCAAACUGGUGAUGGGCCUUAGCUGCCUCAGUGUCCUCGCACAAUUCCUUUCUACCUAAAGGAAAAUAUGUCAGUGAGAGAGAGACAAAUAAGAUGCAAUGAAAAGGAAUGAAAGACAUGCAUCUGUGAUCUGUAAUGGAGUGUGGCAGUGAAUGCUGUUUUCAGCUUGUGCAUUUGUCGCCCAGCUGGCUGGGCAGGAGCACUGGUGAAAUGUAUACUCUUCAGUUAAUACUAUGUCAAAGUUACUGUCCUAAUGACCUUCAUCUGGGCCAAGCAACUAGAGAGUUAAGCUAUAGAAAGACAGCAAAAAAGGACUGCAGCAAGAAAAUGUGACUUAUUCAUCCCAUGCUUUCCUGCCAGAUUGCAUUUAUGCAUGCUGCCCUACCCUUUAUGCUUCUGUGGAUGUGAUUCAUGUGCACAAACAGAGCCUGAAGUUCUUACAGUCAUGCAGUUUUUGAGCAUGGAAUAGGAAACAAGAGACAGGUACCAUAAGAUCAUCAACUUAGAUCUUCUGGCCAGCCAGGAAAAUGAAGCAUCUCUUCCUCCAACAUGUAAUGUCUUCCCUGAACAUACCAGAAGAUACAACAGGUUUGCAGCCCAGCCCAGGUGGAUUCAGGCUUCCUGCCAGCAGUGUUUCCAGAGCUGAUUCUACUGUAUCCACAUUCACACGUCCCUCUUCUGCAUACCUGAGGGAUAUCACCUGACUUUUAAGACUGCCUGCCUGGAGCUUCUUAAAUUAAAGCGCCAGGGUGAGAAAGUUUUACAGCAUCUUCUCUUGCACUGGUCCUUGGAGCUCUUCAGACAGCCCUUGCCACUGACACAGGGGCUCAGUGCCAACACUACUGGACAUUUUUGGCCACCGAGACCCAGGACAUCAGUCUGCAUUUAGAUGUAAGGCCUCCACGUACAGUAACUUCCAGAGAAGUCGAGGAACCCAUGUGGCAAAAUGUGCCAUUAUGUCUUACUAACAUAGAGUGGAAGUGGGCUGAAUAUACAGAAUAAAAGUAAUAAUCCAAAUUUAUAACCUUGUAGUCUGACUACAAGUUAUUGUACCCAUACUUUGCAGAAGUCCAAUUAAACCAGUGACCUGGCUAGAGGAAAAUCCAACAUGACCUACAUCCAGAUUAAAAUUCUUGCAGGAUUUUAAUGGACUUAGGUCUAAACUCGAAUAUUAGCACGGAGCUUUUAGGGGAGAUCUCCCCACUGCACUAUAACAAUGCUGAAAUAUCUUUACGAGGAAGUAUUUGUAGAUGAUCCCUCUUCUGUUUAGGGAUGACACAGAACUGGUAUAAUAAGUACACCACCCCUUUUGUGGCCAAUGUGCACUGGGGAUCAGGGGAAGAGAGCCAAAGCAGAGUGAGGUAAUCCACAGCUGACAGAAAAGGCCACCUGGGGAAGCUGGGACAGGACACAGUGAGCCACAGCGCUGACCUUUGUGUUGGAGCCGCAGCAGGGGAAGCCAGUUCUGCUUUCCCUCUCCCGUGGCCUGAUGCAGCUGAGAAGAGGCAAGAGCUCUGGUCCAGAAGCACCCACAGCAACACCCACGCAGGAUAAAUAGUAACUCACCAGAACCCAUACAUAUUCUUCCACUGCUUAGUUUAAAUCCAGACUGAUUUUGCCAAUGUAAUUUUCAAACGUCGUAUCCAAAUUUUAAAUGUUUAUUUUAAUUUGACAUCAAACCAUUGAAGAAACAAUUGUUUUCAUGCUGUUGUGUGCACAAAGCAGCCUACAGGUCACCACAUACCCUGGAAACCCUGCAGGUCUAAUUCUGAAGCCAUUUCUGCUUUGUUUCACACAUUUAAAGAUGCUAGCCUGUAGAAACUUUACAUCUCUUGUUGUGCUUGACAGAUUUUUCUGAUUUCUCAUGCAAUAUUUUAAUGUCUGCUGUCUGUCCCCUGUCUUUACGCUUGCACUUCACUGCUGUUCCUGAACUUCCCCUCCCACUUUGUCAAGGAUUUUGUACAUCAUCAUUUGGUUUUAUUUCUUCAUGGAAGGACAAAAUUUUUAUUUCAUUUGAGGCACACAGUUCUUCACACAUGUACUUACAGAUGGUGUUUGAAGAGGAGUAACACCUGCAGACAGCAGCACUCACACCAUCCUAAACGUUUCUGCAAGUCCCGGAGGCUCCCAGCCCCUCAGCCCAGCUGUGUUUAAACAUACACAGCGACAGACAAGAACCAGCUUUACACUCAUACACAUUCCUAGAGGCUUCUCCAACGCCCACCUUUAAAUGCAUACCACUUCAAAUGCGGAAUGAAAAUUUAAAAUUAAAUAAAUACGGCCCCAUCUUCUAGAAAAAA
Falco peregrinus (peregrine falcon) is the source of this 3010-nucleotide long non-coding RNA. RefSeq lists it as uncharacterized. NCBI's taxonomy places the organism in Eukaryota, Metazoa, Chordata, Aves, Falconiformes, Falconidae. The record is from RefSeq and is a predicted model, not a curated record. The transcript is spliced from 6 exons.